GGGUUGUGAGGUUAAGCGACUAAGCGUACACGGUGGAUGCCCUGGCAGUCAGAGGCGAUGAAGGACGUGCUAAUCUGCGAUAAGCGUCGGUAAGGUGAUAUGAACCGUUAUAACCGGCGAUUUCCGAAUGGGGAAACCCAGUGUGAUUCGUCACACUAUCAUUAACUGAAUCCAUAGGUUAAUGAGGCGAACCGGGGGAACUGAAACAUCUAAGUACCCCGAGGAAAAGAAAUCAACCGAGAUUCCCCCAGUAGCGGCGAGCGAACGGGGAGCAGCCCAGAGCCUGAAUCAGUGUGUGUGUUAGUGGAAGCGUCUGGAAAGGCGCGCGAUACAGGGUGACAGCCCCGUACACAAAAAUGCACAUGCUGUGAGCUCGAUGAGUAGGGCGGGACACGUGGUAUCCUGUCUGAAUAUGGGGGGACCAUCCUCCAAGGCUAAAUACUCCUGACUGACCGAUAGUGAACCAGUACCGUGAGGGAAAGGCGAAAAGAACCCCGGCGAGGGGAGUGAAAAAGAACCUGAAACCGUGUACGUACAAGCAGUGGGAGCACGCUUAGGCGUGUGACUGCGUACCUUUUGUAUAAUGGGUCAGCGACUUAUAUUCUGUAGCAAGGUUAACCGAAUAGGGGAGCCGAAGGGAAACCGAGUCUUAACUGGGCGUUAAGUUGCAGGGUAUAGACCCGAAACCCGGUGAUCUAGCCAUGGGCAGGUUGAAGGUUGGGUAACACUAACUGGAGGACCGAACCGACUAAUGUUGAAAAAUUAGCGGAUGACUUGUGGCUGGGGGUGAAAGGCCAAUCAAACCGGGAGAUAGCUGGUUCUCCCCGAAAGCUAUUUAGGUAGCGCCUCGUGAAUUCAUCUCCGGGGGUAGAGCACUGUUUCGGCAAGGGGGUCAUCCCGACUUACCAACCCGAUGCAAACUGCGAAUACCGGAGAAUGUUAUCACGGGAGACACACGGCGGGUGCUAACGUCCGUCGUGAAGAGGGAAACAACCCAGACCGCCAGCUAAGGUCCCAAAGUCAUGGUUAAGUGGGAAACGAUGUGGGAAGGCCCAGACAGCCAGGAUGUUGGCUUAGAAGCAGCCAUCAUUUAAAGAAAGCGUAAUAGCUCACUGGUCGAGUCGGCCUGCGCGGAAGAUGUAACGGGGCUAAACCAUGCACCGAAGCUGCGGCAGCGACGCUGAUGCGUUGUUGGGUAGGGGAGCGUUCUGUAAGCCUGCGAAGGUGUGCUGUGAGGCAUGCUGGAGGUAUCAGAAGUGCGAAUGCUGACAUAAGUAACGAUAAAGCGGGUGAAAAGCCCGCUCGCCGGAAGACCAAGGGUUCCUGUCCAACGUUAAUCGGGGCAGGGUGAGUCGACCCCUAAGGCGAGGCCGAAAGGCGUAGUCGAUGGGAAACAGGUUAAUAUUCCUGUACUUGGUGUUACUGCGAAGGGGGGACGGAGAAGGCUAUGUUGGCCGGGCGACGGUUGUCCCGGUUUAAGCGUGUAGGCUGGUUUUCCAGGCAAAUCCGGAAAAUCAAGGCUGAGGCGUGAUGACGAGGCACUACGGUGCUGAAGCAACAAAUGCCCUGCUUCCAGGAAAAGCCUCUAAGCAUCAGGUAACAUCAAAUCGUACCCCAAACCGACACAGGUGGUCAGGUAGAGAAUACCAAGGCGCUUGAGAGAACUCGGGUGAAGGAACUAGGCAAAAUGGUGCCGUAACUUCGGGAGAAGGCACGCUGAUAUGUAGGUGAAGUCCCUCGCGGAUGGAGCUGAAAUCAGUCGAAGAUACCAGCUGGCUGCAACUGUUUAUUAAAAACACAGCACUGUGCAAACACGAAAGUGGACGUAUACGGUGUGACGCCUGCCCGGUGCCGGAAGGUUAAUUGAUGGGGUUAGCGCAAGCGAAGCUCUUGAUCGAAGCCCCGGUAAACGGCGGCCGUAACUAUAACGGUCCUAAGGUAGCGAAAUUCCUUGUCGGGUAAGUUCCGACCUGCACGAAUGGCGUAAUGAUGGCCAGGCUGUCUCCACCCGAGACUCAGUGAAAUUGAACUCGCUGUGAAGAUGCAGUGUACCCGCGGCAAGACGGAAAGACCCCGUGAACCUUUACUAUAGCUUGACACUGAACAUUGAGCCUUGAUGUGUAGGAUAGGUGGGAGGCUUUGAAGUGUGGACGCCAGUCUGCAUGGAGCCGACCUUGAAAUACCACCCUUUAAUGUUUGAUGUUCUAACGUUGACCCGUAAUCCGGGUUGCGGACAGUGUCUGGUGGGUAGUUUGACUGGGGCGGUCUCCUCCUAAAGAGUAACGGAGGAGCACGAAGGUUGGCUAAUCCUGGUCGGACAUCAGGAGGUUAGUGCAAUGGCAUAAGCCAGCUUGACUGCGAGCGUGACGGCGCGAGCAGGUGCGAAAGCAGGUCAUAGUGAUCCGGUGGUUCUGAAUGGAAGGGCCAUCGCUCAACGGAUAAAAGGUACUCCGGGGAUAACAGGCUGAUACCGCCCAAGAGUUCAUAUCGACGGCGGUGUUUGGCACCUCGAUGUCGGCUCAUCACAUCCUGGGGCUGAAGUAGGUCCCAAGGGUAUGGCUGUUCGCCAUUUAAAGUGGUACGCGAGCUGGGUUUAGAACGUCGUGAGACAGUUCGGUCCCUAUCUGCCGUGGGCGCUGGAGAACUGAGGGGGGCUGCUCCUAGUACGAGAGGACCGGAGUGGACGCAUCACUGGUGUUCGGGUUGUCAUGCCAAUGGCACUGCCCGGUAGCUAAAUGCGGAAGAGAUAAGUGCUGAAAGCAUCUAAGCACGAAACUUGCCCCGAGAUGAGUUCUCCCUGACUCCUUGAGAGUCCUGAAGGAACGUUGAAGACGACGACGUUGAUAGGCCGAGUGUGUAAGCGCAGCGAUGCGUUGAGCUAACCGGUACUAAUGAACCGUGAGGCUUAACCUUACAACGCCGAAGCUGUU
RNAcentral lists this ribosomal RNA (2930 nucleotides) under Escherichia coli. Its description in RNAcentral is "bacterial LSU rRNA". It matches the Rfam family "Bacterial large subunit ribosomal RNA". The record is from RNAcentral. Lineage: Bacteria; Pseudomonadati; Pseudomonadota; Gammaproteobacteria; Enterobacterales; Enterobacteriaceae.